Molecule: unclassified non-coding RNA, 259 nt
Filed under: plant metagenome
Description: partial contains small subunit ribosomal RNA, internal transcribed spacer 1, and 5.8S ribosomal RNA
Rfam family: Eukaryotic small subunit ribosomal RNA (bases 1-55)
Source: RNAcentral
GGAAGUAAAAGGUCGUAACAAGGUUUCCGUAGGUGAACCUGCGGAGGGAUCAUUACUGAGUGAGGGCCCCUCGGGGUCCAACCUCCCACCCGUGUUUAACGAACCUUGUUGCUUCGGCGGGCCCGCCUCACGGCCGCCGGGGGGCAUCUGCCCCCGGGCCCGCGCCCGCUGAAGCCACCUGUGAACGCUGUCUGAAGUAUGCAGUCUGAGACAAUUAUUAAAUUAACUAAAACUUUCAACAACGGAUCUCUUGGUUCCG